Molecule: ribosomal RNA, 440 nt
Filed under: uncultured bacterium
Lineage: Bacteria
Description: partial 16S ribosomal RNA
Rfam family: Bacterial small subunit ribosomal RNA
Source: RNAcentral
CCUACGGGAGGCUGCAGUAGGGAAUAUUGCUCAAUGGGGGAAACCCUGAAGCAGCAACGCCGCGUGGAGGAUGAAGGUUUUCGGAUUGUAAACUCCUUUUGUUAGAGAAGAUAAUGACGGUAUCUAACGAAUAAGCACCGGCUAACUCCGUGCCAGCAGCCGAGGUAAUACGGAGGGUGCAAGCGUUACUCGGAAUCACUGGGCGUAAAGGGCGCGUAGGCGGGAUAGCAAGUCAGAUGUGAAAUCCUAUGGCUUAACCAUAGAACUGCAUUUGAAACUGUUAGUCUAGAGUAUGGGAGAGGUAGGUGGAAUUCUUGGUGUAGGGGUAAAAUCCGUAGAGAUCAAGAGGAAUACUCAUUGCGAAGGCGACCUGCUAGAACAUAACUGACGCUGAUGCGCGAAAGCGUGGGGAGCAAACAGGAUUAGAUACCCGAGUAGUC